Molecule: long non-coding RNA, 200 nt
Filed under: Physcomitrium patens
Lineage: Eukaryota; Viridiplantae; Streptophyta; Bryopsida; Funariales; Funariaceae
Description: long non-coding RNA (PPAT_LNC003924)
Source: RNAcentral
UUGGACGUGGAGGAACAAGGAGAGGAGGCGGGGGAGGGGGAGGAGAGAAGACGGUUUAGGGUUUAGGAAAGAAUAAAUCUGAUUCUGUAAGGGCAUUAUUGCCAACAUGGAACUCCUAUGUACCCUUUGUUCAAUGCAUCCUCCAUGGAAAUAGAAAUUGUCAAUGAAGUUAUUUGUUGCAGUGCAAAGAUGGAGUUUUU